UGAUGCUACAUUCUUCUCUAGAAUAUUCAUCAAGUUUGCCAGUCUUAUCUUCAGCACCUCUAUAGAAAAAAACCUAGUUUUUUUGUUAAGCUGGAAGUUGAAAUCACAUCAAUUUUAUGGUUUCAUCUGAUUAUAUUAUGGUUCAGUGCAAAAUUUCCUAGUUUAGUUAUAUUUCAGCACAAGCAUAUCUAACUCCAUGUCUUCAUUAUUUACUCACAGAUGCUCGGAGAGAAGCUCGUAAAGCUUUCUUGGCCUUUUCUUCUGAUGAUUCAAAAGCACAGCUUGCAGAAUCUGAGCCUGUCAAGGGCAACAUUGAAAGUUCUACGGAACGGCCUGCUAAUGAUGAUGUUCUGUCAUACAAAAGCACACCUGUUUAUUUGCUCAGUUGCUGGUUCCGCCACUGCUUAUAUAUAUGGAUAAUGCUUUAUCCACAUAGAAAAGCCACUGAUGGUGUCCAUUUUCCAGCUGGGAUGGCUAGGCUCAGGGGCUACGGAUUUUGGGCCCAGUUACCAGCCCAUUACAGCUAUUAUGAAUGGUGGGCAGCGCACGCGCACCCAAGCUCAUACUCAUCUCAUGACAUUACCGAGCUCUCCCACCUUUGCCGCCUGACACAUCUACUUUUUAUGGGGCUGGAGUGAUGGGCUCCAAUAUGGAUCAAGAAGCUUGGAGUGACACCAACUGUUUUGAGCUCACUAAACAAAUGAACAAUGGACUAUACUCAACUGUUAGUGGGCCGUAUAUGGAUUUGUGCUCCAAUGAGUUUGUGUAGCACAGCCCACUAUUUGGAAGGAUGCCACUGUUUCUAGGCUCGGGUAGCGAUCCAUUUGAUUUGGGCUCUUCAUCUCCCUACUACUAUUAAAUAAAUCCCCCUAUUCUGAUUUUUCAAACCGUCUGUUCAACAUUGAGGUAUGUUUUCCUUGUUUUGUUGUUUGUUUUCACUUGGGGGGCGAAUAUAGGCAGAUGCUGAAUAGUGUAUUGUAUUGUUUUUGUUAAGCUUAUGCAAGGUUUUAACCUUUUUGGAUUAUAGAUGAGCAGUGGUCGGAUUGCUAGAGUCUGUAAAGCAAUCCUGUAAUAUCUUGCUGAGUCACUUAUAACUAGAUUCUCUUUCUCAAUUAAUGAUCUUUAAGAAACU
This is a long non-coding RNA of Carya illinoinensis, 1132 nucleotides long. RefSeq lists it as uncharacterized. The transcript is spliced from 2 exons. NCBI's taxonomy places the organism in Eukaryota, Viridiplantae, Streptophyta, Magnoliopsida, Fagales, Juglandaceae. The record is from RefSeq and is a predicted model, not a curated record.